AUAGUAUUCGUUCUUCCUUUCCAAUCUGGACACAUUUAUUCAUUUUUCCUACUUAAUUGUCUUGACUAUAUCCUGUAGCAAAAUUUGAAUAGUAGUGAAAAUUGUUAAUAUGUUUGUCUUGUUCCUGAUUUUAGGAGGAAUCCUUCAGUUUCACUUUUAAGUGUAAUGUUAGCUGUGGGUUUUGCAAAGAUGUAAUUUAUCAUGUUUAGAAGGUUCCUUUCUAGUCAUUGUUUGUUGAGUGUUUUUGUCAUAAAGUGAUGUUAGAUUUUGUCAGAUGUUUUUUCUGCGUUUACUGAGAUGACUGUGUGUUUUUUCAAAAAACUUUAUUCUAAUAAUAUGGUGUAUUACAUUGAUUGAUUUUUAUAUGUCAAACCAAACUUGUAUUCCUGUGAUAAAUCCCACUUAGACAUGGUAUUUGAUCCUUUUUAUAUGAUGCUUGUUUCGGUAUGCCAGUAUUUUGUUGAGAAUUUAGGGUUCGUAUUCAUAAGGAGUAUUGGCCUAUAUUAUUCUUUUUUUAUGAUAUUAUGGUCUGAUUUCGCUAUCUGGGUAAGACUGGCUUCAAAAAAAAGGCAAGAAAUGUUCCCUUCUCUCCUAUUUUUUGGAAGGGUUUGGUGUUAAUUCUUUAAAUAUUUGUUAGAAUUCAUCAGUGAAGCCCUCGGGUCCUGGGAUUUUCUCUGUGCUAAGUUUUCUGAUUACUAAAACAAUAUCUUUACAUGGGGUAAAUCUAAUCUAAUCCGAUACUUUUUUUCAUUUUUGUAGUUACGUCUUUCUAGAAAUUUGUUCAUUUUAUGCAUUUAAAGACAUAAAUUCCCCAUUUGAGCACUGUUUGUCCUAAAUCCCCUAAAUUUGGGUAUGUUGAAUUUUUAUUUUCAUUUAUCUUAUUUUCUAAUUCCCAUUUUGAUUUUUUGACCCAAUGGUUAUAUAGGAAUGCAUCGUUCAAUUUCCAUAUAUUUGUGAAUUUCCAAAAUAUUCUUCUGCUAUUUUUAAUUUCAGUUCAUUAUACUUGUAGAAAAUACUUUGUAAGAUUUUAAUCAUUUUAAGUUUUUUGAGGCUUGUUUUAGGGCUUUGCGUAUUAUCUGUACUGCAGAAUGUUCCAUAUGCACGUAAGAAUGUAUAGAUUGCUGCUCUUCAGUGAAGUGCUUUCUAGAUAUCUAUUAGGUCUAGUUGGUUUAUGCAUUGUUCAAGUAUUUUAUUCUCUUGCUGAUAAUGCGUAGUUGUUCUAUUCAUUUACAAUGGGGCAUAAUAGUAAUCAACUAUUACUAUUGAUGUGUUUAUUUCAAUUCUUUCAGCUUUUUAUCAUGUAUUUUGGGGCCCUAAUGUGAGGUGCAUGUAGGUUUAUAAUUGUUAUAUCUUCUUGGUGGAAUGGCCUUUUAUGAUUACACAGUGUUUUUUUUGUUGUUGUUUCUAGUAACCAUUUUUGUAUUACUACUUUGUCUGAUAUUAAAAUAGCCAAUUCAAUUCUCUUUGGCUUACCAAUUUCAUGGCAUAUAGAUUCUUUUUUCUUUUUUUUGGCCUAUUUGGUCUUUGGAUCUAAAAUGUUGGCUCUUAUAUAAAGCAUAUAAUUGGAUCAUGUGUACUUUUUUCCAAGUCUGUCAAUCUCUGCCUUUUCAUCAAAGAAUUUAAUAAAUUUGAUUCAUUAACUGAUA
Molecule: long non-coding RNA, 1646 nt
Filed under: Homo sapiens (human)
Lineage: Eukaryota; Metazoa; Chordata; Mammalia; Primates; Hominidae
Description: HSALNT0108586
Source: RNAcentral